CUCUUGCUUAAAGGAGCACUAUAGGCUCAGGAACACAAUCAUGUAUAUCUGACCCUAUUAUGUUAAAACCACCACCCUGGCCCCUUCUUGCCCCACUAAGUAUAGUAACUGCUGGCUCUGCCUCUGACUUGACUGUCUCUGCCUCUGACUUGACUGUCUGCUGACAUCAUCAGAAGUGGUGGUCUGAGCAAAUUACAAUACUUCCUCAUAGGAUUGGCUGAGACUGUCAACUAGGC
Molecule: non-coding RNA, 236 nt
Organism: Pelobates cultripes (western spadefoot toad)
Lineage: Eukaryota; Metazoa; Chordata; Amphibia; Anura; Pelobatidae
Source: the annotation of a GenBank genome assembly